Molecule: ribosomal RNA, 253 nt
Filed under: uncultured bacterium
Lineage: Bacteria
Description: partial 16S ribosomal RNA
Rfam family: Bacterial small subunit ribosomal RNA
Source: RNAcentral
UACGGAGGGUGCAAACGUUGCUCGGAAUCAUUGGGCGUAAAGCGCACGUAGGCGGCCUGUUAAGUCGGAUGUGAAAGCCCCGGGCUCAACCCGGGAAGUGCAUUCGAAACUGGCGGGCUUGAAUAUGGAAGAGGGUCGCGGAAUUCCCGGUGUAGAGGUGAAAUUCGUAGAUAUCGGGAGGAACACCAGUGGCGAAGGCGGCGACCUGGGCCAAUAUUGACGCUGAGGAACGAAAGCUAGGGGAGCAAACAGG